This 200-nucleotide ribosomal RNA is filed under the name uncultured bacterium. RNAcentral's name for it is "partial 16S ribosomal RNA". It matches the Rfam family "Bacterial small subunit ribosomal RNA", at positions 335 to 527 of the family's 1533-position model. The record is from RNAcentral.
ACUCCUACGGGAGGCAGCAGUAGGGAAUCUUCCACAAUGGACGCAAGUCUGAUGGAGCAACGCCGCGUGAGUGAAGAAGGUCUUCGGAUCGUAAAACUCUGUUGUUAGAGAAGAACACGAGUGAGAGUAACUGUUCAUUCGAUGACGGUAUCUAACCAGCAAGUCACGGCUAACUACGUGCCAGCAGCCGCGGUAAUACA